RNAcentral lists this ribosomal RNA (550 nucleotides) under uncultured bacterium. RNAcentral's name for it is "bacterial SSU rRNA". It matches the Rfam family "Bacterial small subunit ribosomal RNA", at positions 355 to 896 of the family's 1533-position model. The record is from RNAcentral.
UAGGGAAUCUUCCGCAAUGGGCGAAAGCCUGACGGAGCAACGCCGCGUGAGUGAUGAAGGUCUUCGGAUCGUAAAACUCUGUUAUCAGGGAAGAACAUAUGUGUAAGUAACUGUGCACAUCUUGACGGUACCUAAUCAGAAAGCCACGGCUAACUACGUGCCAGCAGCUGCGGUAAUACGUAGGUGGCAAGCGUUAUCCGGAAUUAUUGGGCGUAAAGCGCGCGUAGGCGGUUUUUUAAGUCUGAUGUGAAAGCCCACGGCUCAACCGUGGAGGGUCAUUGGAAACUGGAAAACUUGAGUGCAGAAGAGGAAAGUGGAAUUCCAUGUGUAGCGGUGAAAUGCGCAGAGAUAUGGAGGAACACCAGUGGCGAAGGCGACUUUCUGGUCUGUAACUGACGCUGAUGUGCGAAAGCGUGGGGAUCAAACAGGAUUAGAUACCCUGGUAGUCCACGCCGUAAACGAUGAGUGCUAAGUGUUAGGGGGUUUCCGCCCCUUAGUGCUGCAGCUAACGCAUUAAGCACUCCGCCUGGGGAGUACGACCGCAAGGUUG